Molecule: transfer RNA, 70 nt
Filed under: Marmota marmota marmota (Alpine marmot)
Lineage: Eukaryota; Metazoa; Chordata; Mammalia; Rodentia; Sciuridae
Also listed under: 3 other names
Rfam family: tRNA
About the family: Transfer RNA (tRNA) molecules are approximately 80 nucleotides in length. Their secondary structure includes four short double-helical elements and three loops (D, anti-codon, and T loops).
Source: Rfam by way of RNAcentral
GGGGUGUAGCUCAAUGGUACAGCACUUGCCUAGUAUACAGAAGGCCUGGAUUCAAUUCCCAGCACUACCA